UAAAACGUUCGUAGUUGAACUUGUGUCAAGCACAGGUGGUACACCGUAACUGGGUUCGUACAUCAUCUUGAUGCUAUGACGUAUUACUGUAGUGGUUUAAGCGCAAGUUUAUCCACGUAAUAAAUCUAAAUUAGUGCUCUUUACCGAGUGCUGGUCUAGAACAGUACAAUUACUUUGAACAAAUUAGAGUGCUUAAAGCAGGCCAUUUGUGCCUAAAUAUUCUCUGCAUGGAAUAAUGGAAUAAGACGUCUGUUCUAUUUUGAAUUGGUUUUUAGAUCAAGACGUAAUGAUUAAUAGAAGCAGUUGGGGGCAUUAGUAUUACGGCGCGAGAGGUGAAAUUCGUGGACCGUCGUAAGACUAACAUAAGCGAAAGCAUUUGCCAAAGAUGUUUUCAUUAAUCAAGAACGAAAGUUAGAGGUUCGAAGGCGAUCAGAUACCGCCCUAGUUCUAACCAUAAACGAUGCCAGCUAGCAAUUGGAUGGAGCUACAUAUAUGGCUCUUUCAGUCGCUUUCCGGGAAACCAAAGCUUUUGGGCUCCGGGG
RNAcentral lists this ribosomal RNA (542 nucleotides) under Pselliophora bifascipennis. Its description in RNAcentral is "SSU rRNA". It matches the Rfam family "Eukaryotic small subunit ribosomal RNA", at positions 620 to 1119 of the family's 1831-position model. The record is from RNAcentral. Lineage: Eukaryota; Metazoa; Arthropoda; Insecta; Diptera; Tipulidae.